GGAUUUCUCGAUGGGAUG
RNAcentral lists this small nuclear RNA (18 nucleotides) under Arabidopsis thaliana (thale cress). RNAcentral's name for it is "snRNA_09149". The record is from RNAcentral. Lineage: Eukaryota; Viridiplantae; Streptophyta; Magnoliopsida; Brassicales; Brassicaceae.